This 19-nucleotide non-coding RNA is filed under the name Arabidopsis thaliana (thale cress). RNAcentral also lists the same sequence under 1 other name. The record is from RNAcentral. Lineage: Eukaryota; Viridiplantae; Streptophyta; Magnoliopsida; Brassicales; Brassicaceae.
UAAACGGCGGGAGUAACUA